Molecule: non-coding RNA, 859 nt
Organism: Pelobates cultripes (western spadefoot toad)
Lineage: Eukaryota; Metazoa; Chordata; Amphibia; Anura; Pelobatidae
Source: the annotation of a GenBank genome assembly
CUAUGAAUUACCACGCACUCUAAUUAACUAACUAAAAUUAGAAAAAUAAAAAUGAUGAAAUAAUCAGUCAGAUGUAAGAAUUGCAGCAGCCUCCUUGGCCCUAAAGUUGUCAGCAACUUUAAGAUGGAAGAACUAAAUAAUAACAAAAAAAAAGUGUGUGUGUGUGUAUGUGUGUAUAUAUAAACAAUGUGCAACUUAUUCUCCCUGGGUGUGAAAAACUUUAAAACAGUUGCCAAUACAAAGGCCGGGCUGAGAGGGGCAAUAAAAGCUGGUUUGCGUCCUUAUGCCCCUCUGGUAGCACAACCUGCACCUUUUCUGGGGUGUCUUCUUUUUGGGGGUUGGUGGUAUCCGGAAACAGAAGUGACCUGUCGCAACCCUUCUGCUGCUAGGCCCAGUUGAUGGUUCCCCACUGUGGCACUCAGUGAGCAGCCCAGAAAUAAGCUGAAACUGGAAAUCCAAAAAUGUGGAUUUAAUGUCAGCAUUUGCAUUUUAGCACAGAAUUAAGGCAUUGUGAGUCGCCAUUUGCAUAAGGUAAAUGCCAAGCUUUUUGUACCAUGCCCUGGUCUUCCUCAGUAUUAAAUAGGGUUGCUGCAGUUGGUCGGACAGGCCAACUGCCCCCAUGUGCUUGUUAUACUGCCUAAUGCAGACUGGCACCCGUCUAAUUUCUUGUCUGCCACGAACUGCGACUCUUCAAGUGUGCUCAGUAUGCAUAGAUGUUAGCAUGAACACCUCCUUCUUAUCUUUGAAUUUGAGAGCCAGCAGUUCGUCCUAGCAGAGAGCAGCUGUUUCCCCCCCUCGAGCUUUUUUUGUGCCAGGGCUUUGGGAAACCGACAGGUGUCUUUCGGAUAGUGCCGUAGGC